GCCCCUGUAGCUCAGUGGAUAGAGCAGCGGCCUUCUAAUCCGACGGUCGGGGGUUCGACUCCCUCCAGGGGCA
Molecule: transfer RNA, 73 nt
Filed under: Arthrobacter woluwensis
Lineage: Bacteria; Bacillati; Actinomycetota; Actinomycetes; Micrococcales; Micrococcaceae
Rfam family: tRNA
About the family: Transfer RNA (tRNA) molecules are approximately 80 nucleotides in length. Their secondary structure includes four short double-helical elements and three loops (D, anti-codon, and T loops). Further hydrogen bonds mediate the characteristic L-shaped molecular structure. tRNAs have two regions of fundamental functional importance: the anti-codon, which is responsible for specific mRNA codon recognition, and the 3' end, to which the tRNAs corresponding amino acid is attached (by aminoacyl-tRNA synthetases). tRNAs cope with the degeneracy of the genetic code in two manners: having more than one tRNA (with a specific anti-codon) for a particular amino acid; and 'wobble' base-pairing, i.e. permitting non-standard base-pairing at the 3rd anti-codon position.
Source: Rfam by way of RNAcentral